This 24-nucleotide microRNA is filed under the name Ananas comosus (pineapple). RNAcentral describes it as "microRNA s1555_c089b". The record is from RNAcentral. Lineage: Eukaryota; Viridiplantae; Streptophyta; Magnoliopsida; Poales; Bromeliaceae.
AAGAGGGGUAAAAAAGCCAAUAAC